AACUGAAUUCGAUUAGCUACUGAAACGUGUCAGUUUCUGUAAGGAACUUUUCAAGGACCUUCCAGCUAACUUGCUAUCGGUACGAGGAUGAAAGCGAUUCGACGAGAAGUGAUAACAUUGAAGAUUGUCCAGGAAAUCAGCAAAAACUAUAAAUACACGGGUCCGAAAAGUUAUAACAAUGAGGUAGAAGACUCGUGAAUCCAAACUCUGAUCGUCUACGGAGUGAGCUUCACCAAAACGCGAGUGAAAAAUCCACGACUGCACUACCAAAGCUCCACAGCUGGGGAUUAAAAACGAAAAUUGGAACGAGGAGUUGUCCAGAGUUUCGAAUUUCAGUGAUCGCCCGGCGAAUUUUUCAUUUCUUCGAAUGUCUGUAACAAGUGCAACAAUGAGUGAAAAAGGCUCGUUGAAGGACGUGACUCAUCGACUGUCACCACGACUGACCACGGACAUUUCGUCAAUCAUCAAGGGAAUAAACCUUUCCAACCAAUUGGCAUGCAUUCCCGAAUUCGACGGUAGGACGCCGCCCUUUGAGGACUUUUUAGAGACACUUAACAAGGUAUCGAUUUUCGUCACUCCCGAUCAGGAGUCCCAAUUUCUGACGGCAAUAUUGGGCCGCUUGCGAGGAGAAGCUCGUCUAUGCGUGGAGAACGAAUCAGUUACUUCAAUCGAGGACUUGAAGAGAAUGUUAAAGGAAGGACUGUCACGUACUCGACCAUACGCAGAUUGCAUCGCUGAUUUAAACAGUUUACGUUUGAAUCCGAAUGAAUCGGUUCGGAGCUUAUACUAUCGUGCAAGAAAACUAUCGAGCAUUGCUAGUAUCGCUUGGAAAUCAGAUUACGGUUUUCCUCACCCUACAUUGCCGCUGAAUAAAAUUGCUGUUCGCAGUUUUACUCUCGCGUUACCCACCCGUCUGGGUGAGCUCAUAUGCUUAGCUGAUCCGGCAACUCUCCGGGAAGCAGUUGAGAAAACCGAAAAACUCUUAGAGUUUCGGGUCAACUCGGACGCUAGGCACCGCCGCGCGGCGGACUACCGUAGAUCGGCGAAACUUCGCACAUUUUAAACUUUUCAAUCGUCCUGAUCAACAUCGUUUUCGCGUAACAUUCUCUUGGGGAGUUGAUAAAGAAAAAUAAUGUUUACUGCAGAAAAAAGCUCUUAAAAAAAACUGAAGAUCAGGCGAAAAUUCUUAUAUAAUUCUGAAAGAGGAACUCGACGAAAAAAUUUCGUAUUCAAUCAGAUCGUCAACUAAUUAAAAUUACUUUUUCCUUCGCACCAGUGAAAGAUUCCGCAAAAAAGUUGAUAAAAUUUAUUUAGAUUAGUGCACUUUGAAAGGCAGUUUAGCGAUCCUAUCUGUUGAUUUUCUAUUUUCCAUGAAAUUUGGUGACAAAUUGUCAUCUAAUUUUACUUCAUGAUUGAUGCAAAAACAAGAAAAAAUGGUGACCAAAUGGCACCAUAACGCGAACGAUAGCGCACUUGCAUUAUAAUUAUUAUUGUUGCAGUAAUUAAAAACACGAAUGUAUCCGCAGCAUUGAGUCACGUAGCAUUGCCAUGGAUGAAUCAUUUUUUUGAAAAUCUCAUUUGAAUUUGAACAUAUGACGUGGGCCUCGUUCUCCACAAAGUAAAAAAUUAACCUUUUGAAAUCUUCAUCUCGGAAUUCAUAAGACCAUUGAAAAAUUUCUGUAAAGAGAUUAACAAACCUCAUUUCUUCGACAUUAAUUGGAAUAAAAAAAAAUCUAGUUAUGAGUUUCGGAACUUUACUCAAAGUGAAUUGAUUAACGCAACAUCCAUUUGCACAAAAGCAGUUGAUCGUUUCUGAAAAACAAUAACAAUCAGUUUGAUAUUUCAAAGUUUAAUCAUAAUUUAAUAUUGAGUAAAUGUGUAAACAGGUGCUUCGUAAGUUUUUAUAUGAUUAAAAAUUGUGAAACAAAUCGAAAAUAAUAGAAAUUGUUUGUUGGACUUUGCGGAAUCUGUGUAAAAUAUAAUUGGAGUUCAAAGUUGAAA
Molecule: long non-coding RNA, 2001 nt
Organism: Venturia canescens
Lineage: Eukaryota; Metazoa; Arthropoda; Insecta; Hymenoptera; Ichneumonidae
Exons: 3
Source: RefSeq, a predicted model, not a curated record